GUGACGUAAUAUAUCCAUAUGUAUGUUAAGUUAUUAAUAAAUAUUACUAAAAUUAUUUUAAAAAUUGAAAUUAAUAAAAAAAACUGACAUUAUAUGAAAUUCAAUAAAAAAUGAUAAGCACUGAAAACAUGUGCAUCAUAUGAAUAAGUACAAGGUUUUGAAAUUGAUUGAGAGAGCAGAAUUUGACUACGUACAUUGGGUUCACAAGUAGGAAGAUAUGAUAUGAGAGUGAGACUCGGACAAAUGCCAAAACCAGCAGACACGUAGAAAGCUAGCUUAUCCUGUCUGACUUAUUUACUCAUUCGCACCUUGGAUGGAAAAAUAUGGGUUAAAAAAAGCCUUUGUGGAUUAAGGUGGAAAACACUCAUUGGACACAACCUUUUCAGCCACCAUUUUGAGCCCACUUGCUGACCAAAUCUUUGAAUUUUCACUUGAUACCAACUUUUCUAGGCCCCUUGUAUUAUCCACGUUUCCAAAGCUUGCGUCUCUCACCCAUAGUUUACGCUUAUAAGUACCCCUCACAAAACAUUACUUUUAAAAUUUUGAUUGAUUAAAUGUAUCGGAUACUCUAUGGGGAAAAACCCACAAAGAAUAACAUGACAUAGUCACACAUUUUGAGAGGGAAUUUACCCGGAAGGGAGGGAAGGUGUUUGUUUUCUUUAUAUGGCUAAGGUGGUAGCUAGGAUUUGUUUUAUGGCAAGAGAUGCCACCACCACGUAUUUGGGGUAGCUAAAAAGAAAAAUUCAAAGUUGAGGCCAACUUUUGAACUUUAACAUUUGUGGGUGCACAAAGUAACUAAGUUUUGUGUCCACAUUUGGUUGAGAGCCACGGUGUUUACACAUUGAAGAAUAACCUAUCAUUUAUAGCCACAUAUGCAAAAAAAAAAAAGGAAAGGAAAGAAAAGAAAAAGAGGUGCUCCUUUGUCUGCGCGGUCACUGCUCACAUAGCAGUUUUACUUAACCCCACUUGUUUUUAUUCCCUCGAAUCAAUUAUAUGUUUUCUCCGAUGUCCAUAGUGACAAGUUCUUGUUCCAACUCCCCACCCCUUAAAAUCAAUGGCCCAGUAUCUAUGGUUUUGGUUGUAUGGGUUAUUUUUGUUGCCACCAAAUCUCAUACGCAUUUAAGCUUAAUUGAAUUUUCAUUAUAUGGGUUCAAUGUAUAGAAUGGAAUUUAAUCACAUUAAGUUGUUCUAACAGCUUCAGUUAGAUCUACCUGUUUGUUUUUGUUUUUUGCCUAAGUUUGAGUUUCAAUUUCCUACCUAAAUACCACGGAAGGCAAACUUUCCCUGUUGUUUUGUUGGUUGUAGUUUUGGAUUUUAGAAUAAUCCCUUUAUAGGGUCUGUGUUGUGGUUCACAUUAAUAUUCUAGCGGUGGUGGUGGAUUUGUUGAUGUGAUGUUGGAUCAUCCUUCCUCUCCCACUCUUGAGGCAUUUUCUUGAUUCCUCCACACAUCAGCAAUACUUUUUUUUUCUUUUUGUUUUAUAAUAAAUAAUGUAUUUUCUUCACUUUUGUUAUCUUUUGAAAAUUUGUAAAAUCCUAAUAUUUGACAUUUGAGUUCUAUACUUUUAGCUUCCAGUAAAUUAGUACAUAAUCAAAUCCUUUGACAAAUAUUAGC
RNAcentral lists this long non-coding RNA (1612 nucleotides) under Glycine max (soybean). RNAcentral's name for it is "long non-coding RNA (GMAX_LNC002064)". The record is from RNAcentral. Lineage: Eukaryota; Viridiplantae; Streptophyta; Magnoliopsida; Fabales; Fabaceae.